This 337-nucleotide long non-coding RNA is filed under the name Chloebia gouldiae (Gouldian finch). RNAcentral's name for it is "Erythrura gouldiae (Gouldian finch) lncRNA (ENSEGOG00005013869.1)". The record is from RNAcentral. Lineage: Eukaryota; Metazoa; Chordata; Aves; Passeriformes; Passeridae.
GGCGGAUCUGUACAACGGGGUUGCAAAAGGGCCGGUGGAAGGAGCUGCAGGAAGCAGCGAUCAGAGGAUUUCAGCAUGUCUGAAGGGCGUGGGAUUGAUAAGAGGGCUGCCUGGAAUGCUGCUGGAGAUGCAACAGAUACCUCCCCCUCCAGGCUCGUCUCUGGUGACAUCAUGGGAGCACAGUGGGCUCAGUGGAUGCCCAAGUGAGUGGACAAAGUCUUACCCUUGCCAAGUUUUCCGUGGUCAAGGAUGAAGACGGAGGCUGGCCAAGCUGUGGAGAUGAGGUAAGCCUGUUCUGGAUGGAAACACAGACCUGUGGCUCCAGCUGCUGCCUGAA